GUGCUCGCUUCUGCAGCACAUACACUAAAAUUGAAACCAUACAGAGAAAGUUAGCCUGGCCCCUGUGCAGGGAUGAUGUGCAAAUUCAUGAAGUGCUCCAUAUUUUU
This is a small nuclear RNA of Bison bison bison, 107 nucleotides long. The record is from Ensembl. NCBI's taxonomy places the organism in Eukaryota, Metazoa, Chordata, Mammalia, Artiodactyla, Bovidae.